GGCGCGCGAUACAGGGUGACAGCCCCGUACACAAAAAUGCACAUACUGUGAGCUCGAUGAGUAGGGCGGGACACGUGGUAUCCUGUCUGAAUAUGGGGGGACCAUCCUCCAAGGCUAAAUACUCCUGACUGACCGAUAGUGAACCAGUACCGUGAGGGAAAGGCGAAAAGAACCCCGGCGAGGGGAGUGAAAAAGAACCUGAAACCGUGUACGUACAAGCAGUGGGAGCACGCUUCGGCGUGUGACUGCGUACCUUUUGUAUAAUGGGUCAGCGACUUAUAUUCUGUAGCAAGGUUAACCGAAUAGGGGAGCCGAAGGGAAACCGAGUCUUAACUGGGCGUUAAGUUGCAGGGUAUAGACCCGAAACCCGGUGAUCUAGCCAUGGGCAGGUUGAAGGUUGGGUAACACUAACUGGAGGACCGAACCGACUAAUGUUGAAAAAUUAGCGGAUGACUUGUGGCUGGGGGUGAAAGGCCAAUCAAACCGGGAGAUAGCUGGUUCUCCCCGAAAGCUAUUUAGGUAGCGCCUCGUGAAUUCAUCUCCGGGGGUAGAGCACUGUUUCGGCAAGGGGGUCAUCCCGACUUACCAACCCGAUGCAAACUGCGAAUACCGGAGAAUGUUAUCACGGGAGACACACGGCGGGUGCUAACGUCCGUCGUGAAGAGGGAAACAACCCAGACCGCCAGCUAAGGUCCCAAAGUCAUGGUUAAGUGGGAAACGAUGUGGGAAGGCCCAGACAGCCAGGAUGUUGGCUUAGAAGCAGCCAUCAUUUAAAGAAAGCGUAAUAGCUCACUGGUCGAGUCGGCCUGCGCGGAAGAUGUAACGGGGCUAAACCAUGCACCGAAGCUGCGGCAGCGACACUAUGUGUUGUUGGGUAGGGGAGCG
This 885-nucleotide ribosomal RNA is filed under the name Escherichia coli. RNAcentral's name for it is "partial 23S ribosomal RNA". It matches the Rfam family "Bacterial large subunit ribosomal RNA", at positions 349 to 1238 of the family's 2925-position model. Lineage: Bacteria; Pseudomonadati; Pseudomonadota; Gammaproteobacteria; Enterobacterales; Enterobacteriaceae. The record is from RNAcentral.